RNAcentral lists this ribosomal RNA (485 nucleotides) under uncultured organism. RNAcentral's name for it is "bacterial SSU rRNA". It matches the Rfam family "Bacterial small subunit ribosomal RNA", at positions 29 to 507 of the family's 1533-position model. The record is from RNAcentral.
AACGAACGCUGGCGGCAUGCUUCAUACAUGCAAGUCGAACGGUUGUAGCAAUACAAUAGUGGCGAACGGGUGCGUAACACGUGGAUAAUCUGCCCCUUGGCGGGGGAUAUCGGCUGGAAACGGCCGGCAAUACCGCAUGUGGCCUGUAGGUCUUCGGACCCGCAGAAGAAAGGCGCUUCACGGCGUCGCCAAGGGAUGAGUCCGCGGCCCAUUAGCUAGUUGGUGAGAUAAUAGCCCACCAAGGCUUUGAUGGGUAGCCGAGCUGAGAGGUUGAUCGGCCACACUGGGACUGAGACACGGCCCAGACACCUACGGGUGGCAGCAGUAGGGAAUAUUGGACAAUGGGCGCAAGCCUGAUCCAGCAAUGCCGCGUGAGUGACGAAGGAUUUCGGUCUGUAAAGCUCUUUUCUGAGGGAAGAAAUGACAUGUUAGGAAAUGAUCAUGUCUUGACGGUACCUCAGGAAUAAGGGACGGCUAACUCCGUG